CCCUUGAACCUUAAAAGUGCUGGAAUCUUCCGCAAUGGACGAAAGUCUGACGGAGCAACGCCGCGUGUAUGACGAAGGCCUUCGGGUUGUAAAGUACUGUCUUUGGGGACGAACGGCGCCUAUGUAAAUAAUGUAGGCGAGUGACGGUACCCAAGGAGGAAGCCCCGGCUAACUACGUGCCAGCAGCCGCGGUAAUACGUAGGGGGCAAGCGUUGUCCGGAAUUAUUGGGCGUAAAGGGCGCGUAGGCGGAUGCUUAAGUCCGGUGUGAAAGACUGGGGCUCAACCCCAGGGUUGCAUCGGAAACUGGGCGUCUUGAGGACAGGAGAGGAAAGCGAAAUUCCACGAGUAGCGGUGACAUGAGUAGAUAUGUGGAGGAACACCAGUGUCGAAGACGGCUUUCUGGACUGUAACUGACGGUGAGGCGCGAAAGAGUGGGGAGCAGACAGGAUUAGAUACCAUGGUAGUCCACUCCGUAAACGAUGAGUCCUAGGUGUAGAGGAUAUCGACCCCCUCUCUCCCGCAGUUGACUCUAUGACCAAGACGCA
RNAcentral lists this ribosomal RNA (546 nucleotides) under uncultured prokaryote. RNAcentral describes it as "bacterial SSU rRNA". It matches the Rfam family "Bacterial small subunit ribosomal RNA", at positions 329 to 873 of the family's 1533-position model. The record is from RNAcentral.